CCACGGGUGGCUGCAGUGGGGAAUAUUGGACAAUGGGCGAAAGCCUGAUCCAGCCAUGCCGCGUGUGUGAAGAAGGCCUUCGGGUUGUAAAGCACUUUCAGUGGGGAAGAAAGCCUUGGGGCUAAUACCCUCGAGGAAGGACAUCACCCACAGAAGAAGCACCGGCUAACUCCGUGCCAGCAGCCGCGGUAAUACGGAGGGUGCGAGCGUUAAUCGGAAUUACUGGGCGUAAAGCGCGCGUAGGCGGUCUGAUAAGCCGGUUGUGAAAGCCCCGGGCUCAACCUGGGAACGGCAUCCGGAACUGUCAGGCUAGAGUGCAGGAGAGGAAGGUAGAAUUCCCGGUGUAGCGGUGAAAUGCGUAGAGAUCGGGAGGAAUACCAGUGGCGAAGGCGGCCUUCUGGACUGACACUGACGCUGAGGUGCGAAAGCGUGGGUAGCAAACAGGAUUAGAUACCCUAGUAGUC
This 464-nucleotide ribosomal RNA is filed under the name Vreelandella stevensii. RNAcentral's name for it is "partial 16S ribosomal RNA". It matches the Rfam family "Bacterial small subunit ribosomal RNA", at positions 339 to 795 of the family's 1533-position model. Lineage: Bacteria; Pseudomonadati; Pseudomonadota; Gammaproteobacteria; Oceanospirillales; Halomonadaceae. The record is from RNAcentral.